AGGUUGGACAGCCGCGGCCGGAACCCGAAAGGGUCCGGGUGAGGAAAGUCCGGGCUUCACAGGGCAAGGAUAACGGGUAACGCCCGCCGGGGGUGACCCCAGGACAAGUGCAACAGAGAUAUACCGCCCUCCUCGGAGGGUAAGGGUGAAAAGGUGCGGUAAGAGCGCACCCUGCCCAUGGAGACAUGGGUUUUAAGAUGUAAACUCUAUCCGAAGCAACACCGUGUGUGGGACAUAAGGCUUGCCCGGCCGUCCCCAAGAGGUGGCUGGAUCCCGGGAGCAAUUCCGGGACUAGAUAGAUGGCUGUCAAAACAGAACCCGGCUUACAGACCUGAUCC
RNAcentral lists this RNase P RNA (338 nucleotides) under uncultured Faecousia sp. RNAcentral describes it as "Bacterial RNase P class A". It matches the Rfam family "Bacterial RNase P class A". Rfam says of the family: Ribonuclease P (RNase P) is a ubiquitous endoribonuclease, found in archaea, bacteria and eukarya as well as chloroplasts and mitochondria. Its best characterised activity is the generation of mature 5'-ends of tRNAs by cleaving the 5'-leader elements of precursor-tRNAs. Cellular RNase Ps are ribonucleoproteins. Lineage: Bacteria; Bacillati; Bacillota; Clostridia; Eubacteriales; Oscillospiraceae. The record is from RNAcentral.